UUUGGCUCGCUGAAGGUAUUGGAUAAUUUUUUGGCAGAAGGCGGUAACUGGGAGUGCAACGUUCGCAGUUCGAUAGAUCAAGUUCAUUUAUUGGCUUUGCCAAAUACUUGUCUUUGCUAGAAAAUACAGACAUCCUGUGACCUACAAUAUCUUUGCUUCCAAAUGCAGCAUUCUUUUCAAGUCUAUCUCUUUCUCGACUUUCACGA
This 206-nucleotide unclassified non-coding RNA is filed under the name Hevea brasiliensis (rubber tree). The record is from RNAcentral. Lineage: Eukaryota; Viridiplantae; Streptophyta; Magnoliopsida; Malpighiales; Euphorbiaceae.